GAAAUGCGAUAAGUAAUGUGAAUUGCAGAAUUCAGUGCAUCAUCGAAUCUUUGAACGCACCUUGCGCUCCUUGGUAUUCCUUGGAGCAUGCCUGUUUGAGUAUCAUGAAAUCUUCAAAGUAAAUCUUUUGUUAACUCAAUUGGUUUCUACUUUGGUAUUGGAGGUCUUUGCAGCUUCACACCUGCUCCUCUUUGUUCAUUAGCUGGAUCUCAGUGUUAUGCUUGGUUCCACUCGGCGUGAUAAGUUAUCUAUCGCUGAGGACACUGUAAAAGGUGGCCAAGGUAAAUGCAGAUGAACCGCUGCUAAUAGUCCAUUGACUUGGACAAUACUUUUAUGAUCUGAUCUCAAAUCAGGUAGGACUACCCGCUGAACUUAAGC
RNAcentral lists this unclassified non-coding RNA (378 nucleotides) under plant metagenome. RNAcentral describes it as "partial contains 5.8S ribosomal RNA, internal transcribed spacer 2, and large subunit ribosomal RNA". The stretch from base 1 to 105 matches the Rfam family "5.8S ribosomal RNA", at positions 50 to 154 of the family's 154-position model. The record is from RNAcentral.